This 290-nucleotide long non-coding RNA is filed under the name Physcomitrium patens. Its description in RNAcentral is "long non-coding RNA (PPAT_LNC001694)". The record is from RNAcentral. Lineage: Eukaryota; Viridiplantae; Streptophyta; Bryopsida; Funariales; Funariaceae.
CGGUUUUCAUUGGAGGUUUUUGAAGAUCAAGGGGAUUAGAGAAGAGGAGCUUCAUGCUUCGGGUCGGGGAAGGAAAGACAUAGAAUUUGGAUUUUUCUUCUUCAUAGAGUUUUGGGAAGACUGAGGCAAUCGCUGGUGAAGUCAGUAUUGUAAUGGUGAAUCGGGAUUUUUAAUGAAGUGGAUUUGAAUACUCUUGACUGUUUUGUGAAAUCGAGUUACGUCUGUGAUUGAAGGAUUAAAAGGGUGUCUAUAGGAUUGAGUAUGCAGAGUGAAUGAAAUUUAUUGGGUUA